UAUUUUAAUAGCUUAUUAGAGCAUAAUAUUGAAGAUAUUAAGGAGGUUUUUACCUUAAAGUAU
Molecule: transfer RNA, 63 nt
Filed under: Dilophotes sp. N LB-2014
Lineage: Eukaryota; Metazoa; Arthropoda; Insecta; Coleoptera; Lycidae
Also listed under: 1 other name
Description: tRNA-Phe
Source: RNAcentral